RNAcentral lists this ribosomal RNA (486 nucleotides) under Lithobius pilicornis. RNAcentral describes it as "partial large subunit ribosomal RNA". It matches the Rfam family "Bacterial large subunit ribosomal RNA", at positions 1817 to 2588 of the family's 2925-position model. The record is from RNAcentral. Lineage: Eukaryota; Metazoa; Arthropoda; Chilopoda; Lithobiomorpha; Lithobiidae.
UGUUCUUUGGAUUAAUAUGAAGAAUAAGGUCUGCUCUAUGAUUUAAAAUUUAAUGGCCGCAGUAUCUUGACUGUGCGAAGGUAGCAUAAUCAAUUGUCUCUUAAUUAGGGUCUGGUAUGAAUGAUUUUAUGAAAGGCUAGCUGUUUUUAUUAAGAAAAUGAAUUUAGAUGUUAGGUGAAGAUUCUUAAAUGACUGUAAAAGACGAGAAGACCCCAUUAAGUUUCAUAUGGUACUUGUUUUAAGGUGGUGUAACAGGUUAAAAUAUUUGGUUGGGGCAAUUGCAGGAUAAGAUUAACUUCUGUGGAAUAUAAAUAUUUUGUGUAAAUUUGUUAUGAUCCAAGUGUUUGACUUUUAGAAAAAAUUACUAUGGGGAUAACAGCGUAAUUUUCUUAUAGAGUUCUUAUCGAUGAGAAAGAUUGCGACCUCGAUGUUGGAUUAAGAUUCCUUUUUGGUGUAGCCGCUUGAAGAGGCAGUCUGUUCGACUGU